GGGGACAUAGCUCAAUUGGGAGAGCGCCAGCUUUGCAAGCUGGAGGUUACCGGUUCGAUCCCGGUUGUCUCCACCA
Molecule: transfer RNA, 76 nt
Filed under: Omnitrophica WOR_2 bacterium RIFCSPLOWO2_12_FULL_51_24
Lineage: Bacteria; Pseudomonadati; Candidatus Omnitrophota
Also listed under: 1 other name
Description: tRNA-Ala
Rfam family: tRNA
About the family: Transfer RNA (tRNA) molecules are approximately 80 nucleotides in length. Their secondary structure includes four short double-helical elements and three loops (D, anti-codon, and T loops).
Source: RNAcentral